CCGCCCUGCCCGUGUUCUGGCUUACUGUAAUAUUUCACCUGUAAUAAGACCGAAAUAAUAUAAUUAAAAUAAAGAAAUGAAUGAAUACAUGAUAACAUCUAAAUAAAUGUUGAUAGAUUUAGCGUUAUAGUUUUAAAAAUAUUAAUAAACAGCAAAUCAACACAGAAAGACCUAAAUAAUAAUAAUACAUAAUUAAUAAACAGCGCCGCCCCUCCCACUACGCGCAUCACGCGCUGUGCGUCAACCCCAAAGCGUCAAAAACUGAAGCGUGGUCAAGCGCCUCUAGCGUCACUGACAUGAGAUGUUUAUCGCUUUGAAAUCACGUUCAAGAAGUCUCAUUCAGCACACAUCGCGAUACUUUCCAUCAGUUUGCAAGAGCCGCAGGUUGGGUGAGUUAUACAGUCUAUGCUGAAAAGACGUAAAGUAAGCAGUCACCCCAGUGGUGUUUGUGGAGAGGUAUUCCUUCAGAAAUGGAGAAGACAGAAAGCUGCAGAGGCAGGAUUGUUUCCAGAUAACACUGUAGUUCUCCGUCAUGCACAAGGACUCACCUCUUUAACUCUUUAACCCCCCCCCCUACACACACACACAGAGAAAUGGUUCCUGGAUCAGUGACUCAAGACUUUGCAGUGGUUUGAUUUCUGCAGAAGAUGUAACUUUGUUUUAAUUAACCUUAUAAUGAAUACAUUGUGACCUUCCAGCAACCCAUAUACUGUACUGUAUACAGAACCAGUGAUGACAACAGUAGUUAAAAAAUAGCAUUUAUCAUAUUGAUAAAGCAUUGUGUUCUCUUUGUCAAGCUUCAUACAGUAAACUUUACUUCUGGUGCUUUUAUCAUAAAAAAGCUUCAGUUCUCAUCAGGAGUUUUAGUAAAGGACAUAUUCAUGCACAGCAAUCCCCUAGUUCCAGUCAUGAAGUGAAUGAUGUUAUUGUUAAAGUUAUAUUUCUGCAUUUUUAUGUAGCAGGUGUUUGUUUUCCUGAACACUUUAUCUUUCUUCCAUUGUUCGGACAAUCAGUGUUUACGUGAUGCUCUGCUGAUUGAGUUUUAUAGAUGAUAUUGCACACUUGACAUGCAUGUCUUCAUGAUGUUUUUUUGUGAGUUUGAAACAUUAAGUGUUGUAUCACUUUUUGGUCAAUAGAAUCUUUUAAGAAAAUGUAUAUUUUUACGGUGUUCUCUGAAAGAUAUAUACCAUAUUUAUAAUGUUUUGUUUUUUAAUAAAAGAAUUUGC
This 1226-nucleotide long non-coding RNA is filed under the name Carassius auratus (goldfish). RNAcentral's name for it is "lncRNA (ENSCARG00000029926.1)". Lineage: Eukaryota; Metazoa; Chordata; Actinopteri; Cypriniformes; Cyprinidae. The record is from RNAcentral.